Molecule: long non-coding RNA, 1004 nt
Organism: Acinonyx jubatus (cheetah)
Lineage: Eukaryota; Metazoa; Chordata; Mammalia; Carnivora; Felidae
Exons: 2
Source: RefSeq, a predicted model, not a curated record
UCUUACAAACAACGUGAAUGCUUUUGAUCUUGCCUCUCUCCUUUCUUCAUCCUCCAGGAAGCUGACAGCUGCAGCUGUGGCCACACGUCCAGCACCGUUUUUGGUUUUUUUUUUCUCACAAGGUUCAUUGUUUCCCUAGGUGUAUUUUCCCUUCGUGCUGACUUCUGUCUUCUACACUUGUUUCAGAAUGAGGACAGGUCACUGGAUACGCGGAUAAAUAGAUGAGGUAUAUGAACGGAAGAUGCUAAGAAGUCCAAGGAGGGCCUCUUUCUGCCGAAGCAUUGACACUACCCAGCUCCCCCCACCACGAGGAUGGGCCACAGAGUGGCCAGUGGCUCCGCCCAGACGGACAUUAGCAAAGGACAGCUGGACGCAGUGUGAGGCUACCUCCAAGUCCUUCUCAGUGACGUUUGAUGGAGCGCUGGAGCACAUGCGUGAGCAGGUGGAGAUGCACUCGUGUGCCUCGUCUGCCGCCUUUCCUUGCUGCCAGUUGGCAUAGAAUGUUCACGAUGCCCCAAGAGCACAGGAUUCUGGCAGACCCGGGAUGUGUGGGAGUCCGGUGAGACCCACAGUGAGCACAAGGUAAUGGGGGAUGUCCAUGACUGAGGAAGCAAGGGUGUGACUGCCCCAGGAGGCCACACUUCCGUUUCCAAGGAGAAGGUGCUUCCAAUGCAGAACGAAGGCAAUGGUGUUCUAAGAAACACAACCAAGGAACCCUAUCGUAUCCUUUCUUAGACAUGUGUUAAUUCUCUGUGUUAGCCAGUGACUUAUAUUGAAGAUGAUGACAGGGGCGCCUGGGUGGCUCAGUCGGUUGAGUGUCCCACUUCGGCUCAGGUCACGAUCCCAUGGUUCAUGAGUUCGAGCCCCACAUUGUGCUCAUCGCUGUCAGCACAGAGCCUGCUUUGGAUCCUCUGUCCUUCUCUGUGCCCCCUCUCUCUCUGCCCCUUCCCCCACUCAUGCUGUCUCUCCCAAAAAUAAAUAAAAACAUUCAAAAAAAAAAAAAA